UGAGCGGAGAUAUAUGGAGCUUGCUUUAUAUAACUUAGCAGCGAACGGGUGAGUAACACGUAGAUAAUCUAUCCUAUACUGGGGGAUAGCCCGAUGAAAGUUGGAUUAAUACCGCAUAUAGCUAUAUAGUUGCAUGAUUAUGUAGUGAAAGAUUUAUUGGUAUAGGAGGAGUCUGCGGCACAUUAGCUAGUAGGUGAGGUAAAGGCUUACCUAGGCGACGAUGUGUAGCCGGUCUGAGAGGAUGAACGGCCACAAUGGAACUGAGACACGGUCCAUACUCCUACGGGAGGCAGCAGUGGGGAAUAUUGCACAAUGGGGGAAACCCUGAUGCAGCAACGCCGCGUGAGUGAAGAAGGUUUUCGGAUUGUAAAGCUCUGUUAGCAGGGAAGAGGAAGGACGGUACCUGCAGAGGAAGCCACGGCUAACUACGUGCCAGCAGCCGCGGUAAUACGUAGGUGGCAAGCGUUGUUCGGAAUAACUGGGCGUAAAGGAUGCGUAGGCGGUUAAACAAGUUAUAUGUUAAAUAUAUAGGCUUAACCUGUAGAAAGCAUAUAAAACUGUUUAACUAGAGUGCAGGAGAGGUAAGUGGAAUUCCUAGUGUAGCGGUGAAAUGCGUAGAGAUUAGGAAGAACACCAGUGGCGAAGGCGACUUACUGGACUGUAACUGACGCUGAGGCAUGAGAGCAUGGGGAGCAAACAGGAUUAGAUACCCUGGUAGUCCAUGCUGUAAACGAUGGGUACU
RNAcentral lists this ribosomal RNA (742 nucleotides) under uncultured bacterium. RNAcentral describes it as "bacterial SSU rRNA". It matches the Rfam family "Bacterial small subunit ribosomal RNA", at positions 63 to 817 of the family's 1533-position model. The record is from RNAcentral.